GAGAAGCGUGUCUGGACUUAGCCGCAUCACAGAUAUACUCUCUACUUAUUGAAAGCCCACACUGAUCAAUAUAGAAAGUGAAAAUCAAUUAUCUGCUAUAAAUUAAAAUGGCUUCAGAAGUUCAAAUCACGGAGCCGUGUGAUAAAUACAAAGCGAACUAUUCUUUCGCCUUUUACUAAAGAAUACCGUGUAUUUGUCACAUUAAGCGGCAUGCGCCUAUUUUUGGGAAGGGAUCUCUUUAGAUCCUGCAAUUAUAGUCCAAAUCUUCAUGUAAUUAUGUGUUCAUUUCAGCUCUGUCUGCUUUUGUGAAUGGACCUUAUUGUUCUUGCAAGAAAGUAUUUAAUAAAAUUAGUUUUGUAUGACUAUAAAUGUCUUAAUAAGAUUAUAUCAUUAUAAACAAUGUAUCGUCAUAUUUUAUUAUAGUGAAAUAUGUUUUAUUCUUUUUCGACUUUGAUCAAUUAAUUACAUAGAACAUAAACUAUUUUGAUAAUUUCAUAAAUUUUAUUUAUUCUAUUUUGAAUUUUAAUAAAACAUGAAAAAUUUAGAUUUCUAAUUAAAAAAAUAAAACGAACAUAAAAAUACAAAGUUAUUCCAUCAUUCAAAUUACUUAAUAAAAAAUCAAUUACAAUUAGAAAUACAUUAAUAAAUCAACAAUUAAUAUGAAUAAAUCAAUAGUAAAUAAGAAUGCACUUAAGAAUUUUGAUGAAAGUUUUUCAUUUUUUUACCAUAUAUUAAAAGACUCUAAUUUUAUACAAAAGUAUCAUUUAAUUAUCAAUAUUUAAAAUUAAAAUUAAACUUAUUUUAAACUAUCACUAAUAAUAAACAAAAUAUAUUUGUGUAAAAUUAAAAUGAAAAUUAAACUUAUUUAAAAUAUCACUAAUCAUAAAUUAUCAAUAUUUAAAAUGAAAAUUAAACUUAUUAUUAGUGAAGCUAGAAGGUAAAGGUAGCAGAAAAACAAAAUAUAUUUUUUGUGUAAACAAUGAUUUUUUUUUUCUAUGUAUGUUCAACUUGAUUUUACCAUGUUAUUUUGGUGCAGUUUCCUCUUGUAGUGUUCUUUAUUGGUAUUUUGUGAACAUUUUCUGAAAUUUGGAAUUGUGAAAGUCAUCGUGGUGAGAAACUCUUGUAUGCAACACUUGUAUUUAAUAAGAAAGAGAUUGAAUAUACAUGCAUCUUUACACAAUUUACCAGAUCUUACCAAUCUCAAAUAGUACCUCAUGAUUAAAACACAAACUUGAACAACUUUUAAAGUUCAUCAGUGAAGAAAACAUAAUGAUAAUGAGACAAAGAAGUAGAGAAAGAAGAAUUGUUGAAGGAGCAAAGCUAUGAGGGAAGAGUGUGACUUCGGACUUAGCAUCAUCAGUGAGGGAAAGCCCACACUGAUCAAUACAGAAAGUGAAAAUCACUUAUCUGUUAUAAAUUGAGAAAGCUUCGAAGUUUCAAAGCACGGAGCUGUGUGAUAAAUACAAAGCGAACUAUUCUUUCGCCUUUUACUAAAGAAUACCGUGUAUUUGUCACAUUAAGCAGCAUACGCCUAUUUUUGUAAAGGGAUCUAAUUAGAUCCUGCAAUUCUAGUCUAAAUUUUUAUAACAAUUUGUAUUUUAUGUAAGUCAAUUAUUGAAUAUAUUAUAAAAAUAUAUUAGAAGACAUAACUAUUAUAAAAAUACUCCAAUGUUUUUUUAAUGCUGUUAUUUAUAUAUUAAGGA
This 1703-nucleotide long non-coding RNA is filed under the name Vigna radiata. RNAcentral's name for it is "long non-coding RNA (VRAD_LNC003806)". The stretch from base 1448 to 1562 matches the Rfam family "U5 spliceosomal RNA". Lineage: Eukaryota; Viridiplantae; Streptophyta; Magnoliopsida; Fabales; Fabaceae. The record is from RNAcentral.